This 33-nucleotide ribosomal RNA is filed under the name Aureobasidium sp. APSS-865. RNAcentral's name for it is "partial 18S ribosomal RNA". The record is from RNAcentral. Lineage: Eukaryota; Fungi; Ascomycota; Dothideomycetes; Dothideales; Saccotheciaceae.
UUAAAGAGUAAGGGUGCUAGCCGCCCGACCUCC